Molecule: long non-coding RNA, 290 nt
Organism: Amphimedon queenslandica
Lineage: Eukaryota; Metazoa; Porifera; Demospongiae; Haplosclerida; Niphatidae
Exons: 2
Source: RefSeq, a predicted model, not a curated record
AGGUAUGACACUGUUGACCUUUCAUUAAUAAUUGCAAAGUUCAAUUGCAUUCCAUUGGUAUCACAUGAUGCAAAAUGGCAGCUUUCUGAUGACUGUAUCACAAAGCAGGCCUAUACUGCAGAAACUAUAAUGAUUUAUGACAAUCCUUGACAGUUACAUGAAUAUAAGAAGGAGAAAGAGACAAGGCAUCUUAAAUUUGAUCCUGUUCUUUGCUUCAUCAGAUAAAUAGAUCUUCACUAGUUUAAGAUUUUAAAAAUAACUGCAAUCAUCAUAGUUUGUAGUGAAGCAAU